UUAAGCUAGAAAGAGCGCAGGGUGGAUGCCUUGGCACUAAGAGCCGAUGAAAGACGUGAUAAGCUGCGAAAAGCUUCGGGGAGGAGCAAAUAUCCUUUGAUCCGGAGAUAUCUGAAUGGGGAAACCCGGCUGAGAAGACCUCAGUCACUGUAUGGUAAAUCCAUAGCCAUACAGAGGGAACCCGGUGAACUGAAACAUCUAAGUAGCCGGAGGAAGAGAAAGAAACAUCGAUUCCGGAAGUAGCGGCGAGCGAACCCGGAAGAGCCCAAACCAGCGUGCGUGCAUGCUGGGGUUAAGGACUGCAUAAGUGAGCCGAUCUGUUAAUGGAACUGCCUGGGAAGGCAGGCCAGAGAGGGUGAAAGCCCCGUACAUGAAAACGGUAGGCAGCGGCAGGAUCCAGAGUACCGCGAGACACGAGAAACCUUGCGGGAAGUCGGAGGGACCACCCUCCAAGGCUAAAUACUCCUUAGUGACCGAUAGCGCAUAGUACUGUGAAGGAAAGGUGAAAAGGACCCCGGGAGGGGAGUGAAAGAGAACCUGAAACCCUGUGUUUACAAGCUGUGGGAGCACGUUAAGGUGCAACCGCGUACUUUUUGUAGAACGGUCCGGCGAGUUGCCGGUGCUGGCAAGGUUAAAUGGUACAGCCAUGGAGCCGAAGGGAAACCAAGUCUCAAAUGGGCGUAAAGUCAGCACAGGCAGACCCGAAACCGGGUGACCUAUCCAUGUCCAGGAUGAAGCGGAAGUAAAAUUCCGUGGAGGUCCGGAUCCACAUCCGUUGAAAAGGGUGGGAAUGAGGUGUGGAUAGGGGAGAAAUUCCAAUCGAACCCGGAGAUAGCUGGUUCUCCUCGAAAUAGCUUUAGGGCUAGCCUCAUGGAUCAUUGGUGGGGGUAGAGCACUGAAUGUGCGCGGGGGCCACAAAGCCUACCAAACGCUAUCAAACUACGAAUACCAUACAAUGCAGACCAUGGGAGUCAGUCCGCGAGAGAUAAGUUCCGCGGGCAAAAGGGGAACACCCCAGAUCAACCGCUAAGGUCCCCAAGUUCACGUUAAGUGGAGAAGGAUGUGGAAUUGCACAGACAACCAGGAUGUUGGCUCAGAAGCAGCCACACAUUUAAAGAGUGCGUAAUAGCUCACUGGUCGAGUGAUUGUGCGCCGAAGAUGUCCGGGGCUAAACGUGACACCGAAGCGAUGGGUGCGUCUGAAGAAGAUGCGCGGUAGAGGAGCAAUGUGCAGAGGCAGAAGCCGUAUCGAGAGGCACGGUGGACACUGCACAAGAGAGAAUGCCGGUAUGAGUAGCGAGAGGCAUGCGAGAAACAUGCCCGUCGAAAGCCCAAGGUUUCCUGGGGAAGGUUCGUCCGCCCAGGGUAAGUCGGGGCCUAAGCCGAGGACGGAAGUCGUAGGCGAUGGACAGCAGGUGUAGAUUCCUGCACUACCGAUGGAAUGAAGCAGUGACACAGAAGGAUAACUCGAGCAGGGUGAUGGUCAACCCUGUGCAAGCAUCAAGGUUGGGUUGUAGUGAAGUACGCAACCCUAUAAGCUGAGAUGUGAUGCGGACCGAAAUUUCAGUAGGGAAGCGAGUGAGUUCACGCUGGCGAGAAAAGCUGCUAGUACAUCCAAAGGUACCCGUACCGGAAACCGACGCAGGUGGGCGAGGAGAGAAUCCUGAGACGAACGGGAGAACCCUUGUUAAGGAACUCGGCAAAAUGACCCCGUAACUUCGGGAUAAGGGGUGCCUGCGAGAGCAGGCCGCAGAGAAUAGUCACAAGCGACUGUUUAGCAAAAACACAGGUAUCUGCGAAAGCGAGAGCUGACGUAUAGGUGCUGACACCUGCCCGGUGCUGGAAGGUUAAGGGAACAUGUUAGAGCAAUCGAAGCAUCGAACCGAAGCCCCAGUAAACGGCGGCCGUAACUAUAACGGUCCUAAGGUAGCGAAAUUCCUUGUCGGGUAAGUUCCGACCCGC
Molecule: ribosomal RNA, 1961 nt
Filed under: human gut metagenome
Description: bacterial LSU rRNA
Rfam family: Bacterial large subunit ribosomal RNA
Source: RNAcentral